This 494-nucleotide ribosomal RNA is filed under the name Cladocroce sp. 1 JV-2020. RNAcentral describes it as "partial large subunit ribosomal RNA". The record is from RNAcentral. Lineage: Eukaryota; Metazoa; Porifera; Demospongiae; Haplosclerida; Chalinidae.
AGAGAGUUCAAUAGACCGUGAAACCGUUGGGAGGGAAGCUCAGGGUGUCGAGGUUGUCGUGCUCUGUUUGGGUUCAACUGGUGGUAGUUGGGUUGCCAGCUGCUGCCGGUGCACUCUCAUGCAGAGUUGGACCGUCAGUUGGGAAGACAUCAGGACCUGCAAUGAUCGAUGGAUGGGAGGUAAGCUUUGUGGUUCCCUCGGGUGCCCAGAGUGACGUAUAGCCGUUCCGUCGUGGUUCUGAUUGUCUUUCAGGUGUGUUUGGAUGACUGAUCGUCCAAAAUUGGAAGGUGCAGUCUCCCUCUCAUGGGAGGUCGAGCCGUUCUUGAGGUUGCGCCUCAAUGUGGUCACGUGUUCCGUUCCCUCCCCACUAUACUUCGGUGUGUGGGGCUAGGGUGCGGCACGAGCUGCAUUGAGUGUGUCCCAUCAGGAUCGUGUUCCAAGUUCUGUGCCUAGGUGACUGGCGAAGAGUCGUUACUCUGUGCCCCGUCUUGAAA